UCGGGGCGGGGCGGGACUCCCUCCGCUCCGCGCCCUGGGGGGACGCUUCCCUCCCCCGCCGCCAUUUGCUGGGCCUCGGCAGCGCGGGAGCCGGCGGCCCCGGGGAUCGCGAACCCCGAGAGACCGUGCCGCGAUGGAAAAUGCAGCGGGAUGCCGCGGUAGCAGAGCACGCCAGUUAGAAACGCUCGCGAAUACCCACUGAACUUUAAGUCCUGGGCCUCGGUUGUUCGGCAACGGCUUAAUUAAAGACACGCUGUCAUCCCGAGAGCCGGUUUGUCUUUAUCGUUCCAGAUAACGAUAUCGUUCCAGCUCCAGAUGCGGCAGCUGCCCCCCGUUUCCCGUGUUUGUGCAGGCGGCGGGUGGCUGAUCCGUGCUGCGCCAAAGCCUCAGCAACAGCAUGGCGAACAGCAAGCCCGAGGGAGGCAGGGAGAAAAACGUGACUGCACAAAGAGGCUGGGGGAGCGCGGAGUAAAAUCCCUCUCUCGGGAAAUGAGUCUGUGGGAGGAUAGAAGCCCUAGGGCAGAGACUGAGGGAAGACUUUCAACACUCCUCGUACUGAGAAAAACCUUAUCUCUAACAUUAAGAAUUUGUCCUGCCUUUUUGACCAGGCAACCCUUAGGUCACUUAGAGAAAGAAAACCUGUAAUGAGCAGAGGAGAGACAAGCAAGAGGGAAAAUGCUUUGUUCACAGAUUUUUUCAUGACAGAAGCAGUUGAACCAGGUCUAAUAUCUCCUCUGGAAUAUGAUGCACAGAAGAAAGGUUGUUUGCUGCUUUUACUCUGAAUGAAAAUAAUCAUGAAUUGCAACAACUUCUCAAACAACAUACAAAUGAGGUUGUCACCUCUGCAAUUUGCGGAACUCACUGUGUGAACAGCUCAUCUGAUAAUACUAGACAACAGGUAACCAAGGUUUUAUCUUAGUCACCAGAGAUCUUGACGUUUAUGAAAAACAGA
This is a long non-coding RNA of Lagopus leucura (white-tailed ptarmigan), 952 nucleotides long. RefSeq lists it as uncharacterized. NCBI's taxonomy places the organism in Eukaryota, Metazoa, Chordata, Aves, Galliformes, Phasianidae. The transcript is spliced from 3 exons. The record is from RefSeq and is a predicted model, not a curated record.